This 253-nucleotide ribosomal RNA is filed under the name uncultured bacterium. RNAcentral's name for it is "partial 16S ribosomal RNA". It matches the Rfam family "Bacterial small subunit ribosomal RNA", at positions 524 to 776 of the family's 1533-position model. The record is from RNAcentral.
UACGUAGGGGGCAAGCGUUGUCCGGAUUUAUUGGGCGUAAAGAGCGUGUAGGCGGCUGGGUAGGUCCGUUGUGAAAACUCGAGGCUCAACCUCGAGACGCCGAUGGAAGCCCCCCAGCUAGAGUCCGGAAGAGGAGAGUGGAAUUCCUGGUGUAGCGGUGAAAUGCGCAGAUAUCAGGAAGAACACCCGUGGCUAAGGCGGCUCUCUAGUACGGUACUGACGCUGAGGAGCGAAAGCGUGGGGAGCGAACAGG